UACAGCUACUCAACAUCAGGAAGAGCCUUGUACCAUGCAUAUCAGUAGCAGAGAUCAUUGACCCACACAAAGAUAAUGAGUUUUGAACUCAAUCGAUGAGAUCUAAUGUUAGAACUGAUUCAGGACAUCGAUGUGAUCGAUGUAGUUUUUAUUUACAUCAGAUUUUGUAUGCAAAACUUUUUUGCUAUAGAUCCUUAAAGGUAGUUUAGAUCUAAUCUAAAUCAUGUAUAGGAGAUUAAAGUAUUUAAUCUAUUAUCUUUUGCUAUAAAAAUUUUAAAAAUACAUGCUUUGAACUGUCUAUUUCUUCUUCAAAUGAUAUCA
This 321-nucleotide long non-coding RNA is filed under the name Elaeis guineensis (African oil palm). Its description in RNAcentral is "long non-coding RNA (EGUI_LNC076763)". Lineage: Eukaryota; Viridiplantae; Streptophyta; Magnoliopsida; Arecales; Arecaceae. The record is from RNAcentral.